This 468-nucleotide ribosomal RNA is filed under the name uncultured bacterium. RNAcentral's name for it is "partial 16S ribosomal RNA". It matches the Rfam family "Bacterial small subunit ribosomal RNA", at positions 28 to 507 of the family's 1533-position model. The record is from RNAcentral.
GACGAACGCUGGCGGCGUGCUUAACACAUGCAAGUCGAACGGAAAGGCCCUGCUUUUGUGGGGUGCUCGAGUGGCGAACGGGUGAGUAACACGUGAGUAACCUGCCCUUGACUUUGGGAUAACUUCAGGAAACUGGGGCUAAUACCGGAUAGGAGCUCCUGCUGCAUGGUGGGGGUUGGAAAGUUUCGGCGGUUGGGGAUGGACUGGCGGCUUAUCAGCUUGUUGGUGGGGUAGUGGCUUACCAAGGCUUUGACGGGUAGCCGGCCUGAGAGGGUGACCGGCCACAUUGGGACUGAGAUACGGCCCAGACUCCUACGGGAGGCAGCAGUGGGGAAUAUUGCACAAUGGGCGGAAGCCUGAUGCAGCAACGCCGCGUGCGGGAUGACGGCCUUGGGGUUGUAAACCGCUUUCGCCUGUGACGAAGCGUGAGUGACGGUAAUGGGUAAAGAAGCACCGGCUAACUACGUG